Molecule: ribosomal RNA, 405 nt
Filed under: uncultured bacterium
Lineage: Bacteria
Description: bacterial SSU rRNA
Rfam family: Bacterial small subunit ribosomal RNA
Source: RNAcentral
AAUGGGCGAGAGCCUGAACCAGCCAAGUAGCGUGAAGGAUGACUGCCCUAUGGGUUGUAAACUUCUUUUAUAAAGGAAUAAAGUCGGGUAUGUAUACCCGUUUGCAUGUACUUUAUGAAUAAGGAUCGGCUAACUCCGUGCCAGCAGCCGCGGUAAUACGGAGGAUCCGAGCGUUAUCCGGAUUUAUUGGGUUUAAAGGGAGCGUAGAUGGAUGUUUAAGUCAGUUGUGAAAGUUUGCGGCUCAACCGUAAAAUUGCAGUUGAUACUGGAUAUCUUGAGUGCAGUUGAGGCAGGCGGAAUUCGUGGUGUAGCGGUGAAAUGCUUAGAUAUCACGAAGAACUCCGAUUGCGAAGGCAGCCUGCUAAGCUGCAACUGACAUUGAGGCUCGAAAGUGUGGGUAUCAAA